Bubalus bubalis (water buffalo) is the source of this 480-nucleotide long non-coding RNA. RefSeq lists it as uncharacterized. NCBI's taxonomy places the organism in Eukaryota, Metazoa, Chordata, Mammalia, Artiodactyla, Bovidae. The transcript is spliced from 3 exons. The record is from RefSeq and is a predicted model, not a curated record.
GUUCUUUGGGGUCUAAGCCUACUAUUUUAUCAGUUUUCUGGCUUUCCAAAUAAAGUCACUAUUUUUUGCCCCAACAAUUCCUCACUUGAUUAUUGGCCUGUCAUGUGGCGAGUUGUAUGAGCUUGGACUCAGCAACAGGUUUUGGGAAGCCAUCCAGGAGUCUUACUGCUUAUGGCCAACAGGCUCCGGUUGAGGAAUUUUCACACAAAGCCCUAGCAAGCUGCUGGGAUUAUUUGUCCUGAGGACCUUCCCUUCAAACUUCCCAGAAGCAGCACCCGUUGCCCCAGAGCUUGCCAGCUGGAGCAAAGAAUCCCCAUUUGGGAGCUACCAUGCAGUAGGAGAUAAAAAUGCUGAGAAUCAGCUGUCCUUUGGCCAAGACACUGUGGGAGUCCAGCACUGUGUGGAGGCUACCCUCACAAUACUUUGGCUGCCUGAUGUGAAGAACUGACUCAUUGGAAAAGAUCCUGCUGCUAGGAUAGA